RNAcentral lists this ribosomal RNA (435 nucleotides) under uncultured bacterium. RNAcentral describes it as "bacterial SSU rRNA". It matches the Rfam family "Bacterial small subunit ribosomal RNA", at positions 355 to 786 of the family's 1533-position model. The record is from RNAcentral.
UGAGGAAUAUUGGUCAAUGGACGAGAGUCUGAACCAGCCAAGUAGCGUGAAGGAUGACUGCCCUAUGGGUUGUAAACUUCUUUUAUACGGGAAUAAAGUUCAGCACGUGUGCUGUUUUGUAUGUACCGUAUGAAUAAGGAUCGGCUAACUCCGUGCCAGCAGCCGCGGUAAUACGGAGGAUCCGAGCGUUAUCCGGAUUUAUUGGGUUUAAAGGGAGCGUAGGCGGAUGCUUAAGUCAGUUGUGAAAGUUUGCGGCUCAACCGUAAAAUUGCAGUUGAUACUGGGUGUCUUGAGUACAGUAGAGGUAGGCGGAAUUCGUGGUGUAGCGGUGAAAUGCUUAGAUAUCACGAAGAACUCCGAUUGCGAAGGCAGCGUACCGGCGCCCAACUGACGCUGAAGCACGAAGGCGUGGGGUAUCGAACAGGAUUAGAUACC